GCUGCUGCAGGGGGCGGACGGCGGUGCGCCGGCCGGCUGCGUCCUCCGCUGCGGGGGGGUGUGCAAGUCCUGCAAGGAAAACCGGUGGCCGGGCUCCCCGGCGCCGGCCCUCCGAUGCCUAAGUCAGAGGGGGGCUUAACUUUGAAGAAGAGAGAGGGAUUGUAUGUGGAAGUCCGAAAUAAUCCCCUUGGGAGGAAGAGGCCUCCUCCCUCUUAGAGGGAGAAGCUCCCCUUUUAUAGGGAG
This 243-nucleotide long non-coding RNA is filed under the name Phoenix dactylifera (date palm). RNAcentral describes it as "long non-coding RNA (PDAC_LNC022540)". Lineage: Eukaryota; Viridiplantae; Streptophyta; Magnoliopsida; Arecales; Arecaceae. The record is from RNAcentral.